Molecule: ribosomal RNA, 629 nt
Filed under: Cladonia humilis
Lineage: Eukaryota; Fungi; Ascomycota; Lecanoromycetes; Lecanorales; Cladoniaceae
Description: eukaryotic LSU rRNA
Rfam family: 5.8S ribosomal RNA (bases 251-404)
Source: RNAcentral
AUGAGGUCGGGGAGGCCAGCCCCCGUGGCGAGCGGGUGCCGUGUCGAGUCCAUUCGGGCUUGAGCCGGCAGUCGUCCGUUAAUUCUCAACCCCAUGUUUACUAUACCUUUGUUGCUUUGGCGGGCCUUGAUUAGGCUAUACGGCUCAUGCCGGCCUCAGGCUUCAAUGCCUUGGGGGCGGCUCGCGUCCGCCAGAGGUUUUAUUCAAAUCCUAAUUAUUAGUGAUGUCUGAGCAAAUAUUAAAUAAUCAAAACUUUCAACAACGGAUCUCUUGGUUCUGGCAUCGAUGAAGAACGCAGCGAAAUGCGAUAAGUAAUGUGAAUUGCAGAAUUUAGUGAAUCAUCGAAUCUUUGAACGCACAUUGCGCCCCUCGGUAUUCCGGGGGGUAUGCCUGUUCGAGCGUCAUUACACCCCUCAAGCGUAGCUUGGUAUUGGACUUUCGCGGGCACUCUUACAAGGGCUCGCGGGUUCGAAAAGCAGUGGCGGUCCCCGAAGAUUUCGCGCGUAGUAAAUUUUAUCCCGCGUUGGAAAGAAUCGAUGGGUCUUGCCAAAACCCCCUAAUCUCCAUAAAUUGACCUCGGAUCAGGUAGGGAUACCCGCUGAACUUAAGCAUAUCAUAAGCCGGAGAAA